UAAAGGAUGGUCAUUUUGGAAUUUUUCUUAGAUGCUUUCUUCAGAAGAAAAUAAUUUGGAGAAUAUUGAAGAGGAAGAGGGGAAAGGUGACUGCAGGAGCAACUGAGAGCUGGAGUCUCAUCUAAGGGAGACCUGCAUCUGUUUGUCUGCUGGAUGUAGCAGGAUGUCUGUUGAAGAUGAAGAAGAACUUCUGUACAUAAAAUUCUCCUUUCUACUGGAAGGCUAAAGAAUAAACUACAGAACCAAGAGGACUGUGAAGACUUUUGGCUGCUGUUUCCACUGGCUGUAACAGUUAACACCUCAGAAGAAAACCUGAGGAUAUAAAAUCAAAAACUUGAGUUUCUUACACGCUUCGUUGCAGCUGAAUAUUUAGGCAGUUUAGUUGGGGGGAGGAGGGAAAGGAAGCCCCAAACCAAAACUGAUUGCAAAAAGUGACAGCAAGAAGGCAGCAAGAAAAGGAGCCAGAUCUGUAAGUGUUGUAGGAGUGUGUAACUCAUUAGCACCAAUGGAUCAGUGCUCAUUUGUGCCACUUGAGAAUCAAGCCCAGUAACAUGGUGUUGUCCCUUUAGUGUAAUUUUUCUCUCACAGUUCCCAGUCUCUAGAAAAAGGAAAACUGAACUACAUUUUGAAAAUACAUGUGAAAUGCUAGAAUCUAAAGUAAUCUUUCAAUUAUUUAAAUAAAAAAGAAGCCUCUAUGCCAGAAUAUGUACAGAACCUGAGUAAUUUGCCCAAUAUGUGAACAAGUGGUUUUCAUGACUGGCUGUACUACAGCAUGAUUAUUCAAGGACAUUUUUCUUUGGGUUAGGGUGAGAAAUACCUUGACCUUUGGUUUUGAUAAUCUAUGUAUCACUUGCUCAUUUUGAUUCUCUUUAAAGUCAUCGAAAGAAGGAGAUCUUGUUUUUGGUUUUUGCUGUCUUGCUCAUCUCUUAACAGUUCCCUGUUCUUCUUUUUACACCUGUGUGUUGGUUUCUAUCCUAAUUUUUACAACACUCCUGCAAAUAUGGACUUGGUUUACUGCAGCUGAAUUUAAUCUGAAUUUGCCUGUUGAAUCAAGGCUACUAGGCAUAUGAAAUAAGGGAAAGGAGUAUUAGUUUGAUUAAUUAAAACUGUUCCCUUGACUUCUAUAGAGGUGUCUCAAUUGCCUUCAGUCAAUCUGGAGCACAGAUUACUCUGCCUAUAGUAUAAAAUGUCUUACACAAAUAUAUGAGUACUGUGAUGCUAAAAAAUUUAAAAAAAAAAUGCUACUCUACAAACUGAAUACUCAAGUGUUGGAAAACUGUUAAAAUGGAACCAUUUUUAUUUCUUUCACAUGCUACCAGUAACAUUCUGAUUAUGUUUUUUCUCUGACUUUAGAGUGGUGUCUUCCCAAGGUUUGCCUUCUGGUGCCUUUGUAAGAUCCGCCAUGGAGCAGCUGGCCCUGGUUUCUCUAAGCAAAGGAUGUGAGCAGCUG
Catharus ustulatus (Swainson's thrush) is the source of this 1450-nucleotide long non-coding RNA. RefSeq lists it as uncharacterized. The transcript has 3 exons. NCBI's taxonomy places the organism in Eukaryota, Metazoa, Chordata, Aves, Passeriformes, Turdidae. The record is from RefSeq and is a predicted model, not a curated record.